This 234-nucleotide ribosomal RNA is filed under the name uncultured bacterium. Its description in RNAcentral is "partial 16S ribosomal RNA". It matches the Rfam family "Bacterial small subunit ribosomal RNA", at positions 118 to 347 of the family's 1533-position model. The record is from RNAcentral.
UGAGGAACAUGACCUUCGGCGGGGGAUAGCCGGCCCAACGGCCGGGUAAUACCGCGUACGACCACAUGGGGACAUCCCUGAGUGGUGAAAGCAGCAAUGCGCCGAUGGAGUGCCUCGCGGCCUAUCAGCUAGUUGGUGAGGUAACGGCUCACCAAGGCGACGACGGGUAGCCGGCCUGAGAGGGUGACCGGCCACACUGGGACUGAGACACGGCCCAGACUCCUACGGGAGNAG